AUCUCCCUUUGUUUACAAGACUGAGCAGGAAAAGACAAUUUUGCUGACUUCCUCCGCACUCCAUGUAAAGAUGGUUUGGUGAGAAUAAAAGCAUCAGUACUGGUUUUAUUAAAGUGAUAUACACAUUGUUUAUUCCACACGUUAAUAUAAAAUAAUAAAGCAAUGAACGAAAACAGUAAUAAAUGCAAUAUAUGUGGUCAACAAGAAUGUCAAGGACAUUUACAUUCGAACAUACAUGUAGAAACAAACACUGAAGAUGAAAAAAACAAACCUGCCAUUG
Molecule: long non-coding RNA, 280 nt
Organism: Mytilus trossulus (common blue mussel)
Lineage: Eukaryota; Metazoa; Mollusca; Bivalvia; Mytilida; Mytilidae
Exons: 2
Source: RefSeq, a predicted model, not a curated record